UAGAGUUUGAUCAUGGCUCAGAUUGAACGCUGGCGGCAGGCCUAACACAUGCAAGUCGAGCGGUAACACUUUCUAGCUUGCUAGAAGAUGACGAGCGGCGGACGGGUGAGUAAUGCUUGGGAACAUGCCUUUAGGUGGGGGACAACCAUUGGAAACGAUGGCCAAUACCGCAUAAUGUCUACGGACCAAAGGGGGCUUCGGCUCUCGCCUUUAGAUUGGCCCAAGUGGGAUUAGCUAGUUGGUGAGGUAAUGGCUCACCAAGGCGACGAUCCCUAGCUGGUUUGAGAGGAUGAUCAGCCACACUGGAACUGAGACACGGUCCAGACUCCUACGGGAGGCAGCAGUGGGGAAUAUUGCACAAUGGGCGCAAGCCUGAUGCAGCCAUGCCGCGUGUGUGAAGAAGGCCUUCGGGUUGUAAAGCACUUUCAGUAAGGAGGAAAGGUUAGUAGUUAAUACCUGCUAGCUGUGACGUUACUUACAGAAGAAGCACCGGCUAACUCCGUGCCAGCAGCCGCGGUAAUACGGAGGGUGCGAGCGUUAAUCGGAAUUACUGGGCGUAAAGCGUACGCAGGCGGUUUGUUAAGCGAGAUGUGAAAGCCCCGGGCUUAACCUGGGAACUGCAUUUCGAACUGGCAAACUAGAGUGUGAUAGAGGGUGGUAGAAUUUCAGGUGUAGCGGUGAAAUGCGUAGAGAUCUGAAGGAAUACCGAUGGCGAAGGCAGCCACCUGGGUCAACACUGACGCUCAUGUACGAAAGCG
Molecule: ribosomal RNA, 758 nt
Filed under: uncultured bacterium
Lineage: Bacteria
Description: bacterial SSU rRNA
Rfam family: Bacterial small subunit ribosomal RNA
Source: RNAcentral